GCAAACUUGGUCAUUUAGAGGAAGUAAAAGUCGUAACAAGGUUUCCGUAGGUGAACCUGCGGAAGGAUCAUUACAGUGCCGCCGGGACUUGCCCCCUAAACCAGGGCGAGCUCCCGCAACUGGCCACCCGUGUCUACCGAACCUCGUUGCUUUGGCGUGCCCGCGAACCCUUCACCGGGGGAGCCGCCUUGGGGCUUCUGCCUCGGGCCAGCGCCGCCAGAGGACCACAAUUGAACUCUUUGCUGAUGAGUGACUGUCUGAGUGAUUGAUUUAAUCAUUAAAACUUUCAACAACGGAUCUCUUGGUUCCAGCAUCGAUGAAGAACGCAGC
This 330-nucleotide unclassified non-coding RNA is filed under the name uncultured fungus. RNAcentral describes it as "partial contains small subunit ribosomal RNA, internal transcribed spacer 1, and 5.8S ribosomal RNA". The stretch from base 1 to 73 matches the Rfam family "Eukaryotic small subunit ribosomal RNA", at positions 1759 to 1831 of the family's 1831-position model. Lineage: Eukaryota; Fungi. The record is from RNAcentral.